AAUAAAUAAAAAAUUUAAAAAAGAACCCACACUGGCAAAAUGUAAUAUAUUAAGAAAUGCUUUACAAGGGAAAUGCCUCUUAACCUCUGUCCAAUUUGAGAUCAUUUGCAUCCAUGACUAUCAUAGGCAAUGAAAAUAAAAUAAUAAAACUGAAGCCCUAGGGGUCUCCCUAAGCAUCCUUUGGUCCCUCCCCAAAGUGAUGCUUAUCUUAGGCAAAGAAAUCAUAGAAUUAGGUGCCAGUAGCAGCAAAGGAGAGUGAAUUCAAGAGUUCAGCCACUGCCCUAUAAAAUGUAGGCAGCUUCCACCUGAGCACAGCACUUCAGGACACCCUAAUGUCUCCUGUUUUUGGACGAAUGGACUUCUGAAGAUCUUGCAUAAAGCAACUCAAGUAAUUUCCCCGUAACAAAUCUGUAUUUGUUACCUCCUAUAGGAGGUGGUGGCUUCAUGAACAGGGUUGGUGCAUUUACCUUGAGCCAGACCACUUAGUUUACCUUAAUUGUCUUCCUACUAACAGAGGGAACUGAAGGAAGUUACUGACCUUCUGUUUGCCUUAGAUUCCUCAGCUGUAAGAUGAAGAUGAUGAUGACGUUCAAUAUCUUAUCUGAUUCUUCCAACAGUCCCUUGAGGUAACCACUAUCCCUACCACAUUCAGUUGUUGGGAGGAUCAAAGAAGUUAAUAUGUGCAAAGUGGUUAGAGAGGUGCUGGCACAUGGGCCUGUUUAUCUCUUAAAUACAGCCCUGCCCACAGCUGUAAGGAACAUGAAUAUGCUUAUGGUAAACACUCAGGAAAAUGCAGAAGAUAGAACGCAGAAAGAAUUGAACGUGCUAUUAUAUCACCCAAAGACCACCAUUGUUAAAAUUUUAGCAUAUGUCCUCCGAGACUUCUUUCUGAAGUAUAUGAUUUUGUUGUCUAUGUUUGCUUUACAUACCUGUGACCAAUUAUAUACACAAUUCAAUCUUCCUUUUUUCCUCCUAAUAUUAUUAACAUCUGCUAUCUCAUGCAAUUAGAAAGUUCA
Molecule: long non-coding RNA, 1016 nt
Filed under: Vulpes vulpes (red fox)
Lineage: Eukaryota; Metazoa; Chordata; Mammalia; Carnivora; Canidae
Description: lncRNA (ENSVVUG00000007179.1)
Source: RNAcentral